UUUUUCCCGCAGUCAAAAAUAUUAGUCAAUGCUCGAAAGAGUGAACUAGCUAACUGAAAUCAAUUAUAAAAUUGAUAACAUAAGGGAAAAUAAUGAUAUUACCUUAUUAUUAGUGUCGUCCAAAACUGGUGCCAGAAGACUCGGUAAGGCCAGAGACAUAAACGUUAAUCGUCUUAAUCAGGCGUAAAGGGUUUGUAGGCGGCUUUUAAUUUUACUUAUUUAAUUUUGUUUUUUUUUUUUGUUAAUUAAAAAUUAUAAGUACAGAAUAAAAGCUAGAAUCAAAUAGAGGAUAUAUCAAAUAAUGCUUAGAGUAGGUCUGAUAUCCUUAGAUACUAAGUAGAAUAUUAAAGGCGAAGGCUUUUUUCCAUUAAUGAUUGACGCUCAGAAACGAAGGUGAGGAUAGGAAAUAGGAUUAGAUACCCAAAAUACCCCUCUCUGUCAACGAUGAAUGGUAGUUAUUAGUAAUAAAUUAAUUAAUGACAAUGUUAACACGAUAACCAUUCCGCCUUGUGAGUACAACUGCAAAGUUGAAAACAAAAAAAUUAGUCGGUUUCGGAGCAAACGAAGUGAAGCAUGUUAUUUAAUUCGAUAAUCCGCA
Molecule: ribosomal RNA, 598 nt
Filed under: Russula sp.
Lineage: Eukaryota; Fungi; Basidiomycota; Agaricomycetes; Russulales; Russulaceae
Description: partial small subunit ribosomal RNA
Rfam family: Bacterial small subunit ribosomal RNA
Source: RNAcentral